GACGAACGCUGGCGGCGCGCCUAACACAUGCAAGUCGAACGAGAGAUGAGGAGCUUGCUCUUCAAAUCGAGUGGCGAACGGGUGAGUAACGCGUGAGGAACCUGCCUCAAAGAGGGGGACAACAGUUGGAAACGACUGCUAAUACCGCAUAAGCCCACGGCUCGGCAUCGAGCAGGGGGAAAAGGAGCAAUCCGCUUUGAGAUGGCCUCGCGUCCGAUUAGCUAGUUGGUGAGGUAACGGCCCACCAAGGCGACGAUCGGUAGCCGGACUGAGAGGUUGAACGGCCACAUUGGGACUGAGACACGGCCCAGACUCCUACGGGAGGCAGCAGUGGGGAAUAUUGCACAAUGGGGGAAAUCCUGAUGCAGCGACGCCGCGUGGAGGAAGAAGGUCUUCGGAUUGUAAACUCCUGUUGUUGAGGAAGAUAAUGACGGUACUCAAC
Molecule: ribosomal RNA, 442 nt
Filed under: uncultured bacterium
Lineage: Bacteria
Description: bacterial SSU rRNA
Rfam family: Bacterial small subunit ribosomal RNA
Source: RNAcentral